Molecule: long non-coding RNA, 364 nt
Filed under: Phoenix dactylifera (date palm)
Lineage: Eukaryota; Viridiplantae; Streptophyta; Magnoliopsida; Arecales; Arecaceae
Description: long non-coding RNA (PDAC_LNC012606)
Source: RNAcentral
AAUUGGAGGGUUUGAGCUGGCUCACGGGAGUGAAACAGAGAGGAGAGGGGGAGGGUUCUCAGACGACACAGAGAGAAAGAAAAAGAGAAGAAGAAGAAGAAAAAGAAGAAGGAAGAGGGAUUCGAGGUGGAAGGGAGUCCCGAUUGCACUUCCAGCUGCAGGGAAAAGUGUAGAUCUCCUUUUUCUCUACGCAAGGACCUCGAUUUCCAAAAAGAAAAAGGUAAAUAUCCGUCCCUAUCUAGUCUUUUGAUGACAUUAGGCUAUACAAAGGGUAGAUAUAGUCUAGAGGGUCGGAUAAGGGUUGUAGAGGCGGUUAAAAGAGGAAGAAUCGGAUUUUGACAAAUUUUUCCGGCACUACGGAAAA